Molecule: ribosomal RNA, 490 nt
Filed under: uncultured bacterium
Lineage: Bacteria
Description: partial 16S ribosomal RNA
Rfam family: Bacterial small subunit ribosomal RNA
Source: RNAcentral
AUUGAACGCUGGCGGCAGGCCUAACACAUGCAAGUCGAACGGUAACAGGAAGCAGCUUGCUGCUUUGCUGACGAGUGGCGGACGGGUGAGUAAUGUCUGGGAAACUGCCUGAUGGAGGGGGAUAACUACUGGAAACGGUAGCUAAUACCGCAUAACGUCGCAAGACCAAAGAGGGGGACCUUCGGGCCUCUUGCCAUCGGAUGUGCCCAGAUGGGAUUAGCUAGUAGGUGGGGUAACGGCUCACCUAGGCGACGAUCCCUAGCUGGUCUGAGAGGAUGACCAGCCACACUGGAACUGAGACACGGUCCAGACUCCUACGGGAGGCAGCAGUGGGGAAUAUUGCACAAUGGGCGCAAGCCCGAUGCAGCCAUGCCGCGUGUAUGAAGAAGGCCUUCGGGUUGUAAAGUACUUUCAGCGGGGAGGAAGGGAGUAAAGUUAAUACCUUUGCUCAUUGACGUUACCCGCAGAAGAAGCACCGGCUAACUCCGUG